Molecule: ribosomal RNA, 497 nt
Filed under: uncultured bacterium
Lineage: Bacteria
Description: partial 16S ribosomal RNA
Rfam family: Bacterial small subunit ribosomal RNA
Source: RNAcentral
GAUGAACGCUGGCGGCGUGCCUAAUACAUGCAAGUCGAGCGAACAGACGAGGAGCUUGCUCCUCUGACGUUAGCGGCGGACGGGUGAGUAACACGUGGAUAACCUACCUAUAAGACUGGGAUAACUUCGGGAAACCGGAGCUAAUACCGGAUAAUAUAUUGAACCGCAUGGUUCAAUAGUGAAAGACGGUUUUGCUGUCACUUAUAGAUGGAUCCGCGCCGCAUUAGCUAGUUGGUAAGGUAACGGCUUACCAAGGCAACGAUGCGUAGCCGACCUGAGAGGGUGAUCGGCCACACUGGAACUGAGACACGGUACAGACUCCUACGGGAGGCAGCAGUAGGGAAUCUUCCGCAAUGGGCGAAAGCCUGACGGAGCAACGCCGCGUGAGUGAUGAAGGUCUUCGGAUCGUAAAACUCUGUUAUUAGGAAAGAACAAAUGUGUAAGUAACUAUGCACGUCUUGACGGUACCUAAUCAGAAAGCCACGGCUAACUACGUG